GCGCCCGUAGCUCAGCCGGAUAGAGUGUCAGACUCCGAUUCUGAAGGUCGCAAGUUCGAAUCUUGUCGGGCGUGCCA
This 77-nucleotide transfer RNA is filed under the name Clostridiales bacterium. Its description in RNAcentral is "tRNA-Arg". It matches the Rfam family "tRNA". From Rfam's summary of the family: Transfer RNA (tRNA) molecules are approximately 80 nucleotides in length. Their secondary structure includes four short double-helical elements and three loops (D, anti-codon, and T loops). The record is from RNAcentral. Lineage: Bacteria; Bacillati; Bacillota; Clostridia; Eubacteriales.